Molecule: ribosomal RNA, 523 nt
Filed under: uncultured bacterium
Lineage: Bacteria
Description: bacterial SSU rRNA
Rfam family: Bacterial small subunit ribosomal RNA
Source: RNAcentral
UCAGGACGAACGCUGGCGGCGUGCCUAAUACAUGCAAGUCGAACGGUCUUUCUAUGGAAGCUUGCUUCCACUGAGAAGAUAGUGGCGAACGGGUGAGUAACACGUGGGUAACCUGCCCAUAAGAGGGGGGAUAACAUCCGGAAACGGGUGCUAAUACCGCAUAGUUUUCUUGAUCGCAUGAUUGAGAAAGGAAAGACGGCCUUUGUGCUGUCGCUUAUGGAUGGACCCGCGGCGUAUUAGUUAGUUGGUGAGGUAACGGCUCACCAAGACGAUGAUACGUAGCCGACCUGAGAGGGUGAUCGGCCACAUUGGGACUGAGACACGGCCCAAACUCCUACGGGAGGCAGCAGUAGGGAAUCUUCCGCAAUGGACGAAAGUCUGACGGAGCAACGCCGCGUGAGUGAAGAAAAGGUUUUCGGAUCGUAAAACUCUGUUGUCAGAGAAGAACAAGUUGGAGAGUAACUGCUCCAGCCUUGACGGUAUCUGACCAGAAAGCCACGGCUAACUACGUGCCAGCCGCCGC